AACGCACCUUGCGCUCCCUGGUAUUCCGGGGAGCAUGCCUGUUUGAGUGUCAUGAACUCUUCAACCCUCCCUUUUCUCAGUGACUAGAGAGGUGCUUGGAUUCUGAGUGUUGCCCCUUACCCGGGCUCAUUCGUAAUGCAUUAGCAUCCCAUUCGAAUUUCGGAUUGACUUGGCGUAAUAGACUAUUCGCUGAGGAUUCUACUCUCGCAGUAGAGCCGGGUUCGAGAGGAAGCUUCUAAUCUAGCUUAGUCUACUUUUAAGAUUAGACCUCAAAUCAGGCAGGAUUACCCGCUGAACUUAA
RNAcentral lists this unclassified non-coding RNA (301 nucleotides) under uncultured Sporidiobolales. Its description in RNAcentral is "sequence contains ITS2". The stretch from base 1 to 52 matches the Rfam family "5.8S ribosomal RNA", at positions 103 to 154 of the family's 154-position model. The record is from RNAcentral. Lineage: Eukaryota; Fungi; Basidiomycota; Microbotryomycetes; Sporidiobolales.